This 468-nucleotide ribosomal RNA is filed under the name Tridentoinfundibulum gobi. Its description in RNAcentral is "partial large subunit ribosomal RNA". Lineage: Eukaryota; Metazoa; Nematoda; Chromadorea; Rhabditida; Strongylidae. The record is from RNAcentral.
AAAAUCUAGGUUUUUUAUUAUUAGGUAUUGCAUACCGUUUAAAGAAAAUUUUAUUGUAAUAAAAUAUAAAAUUAAAAGGUAGAAUUUUUAUUAUUUUUAUUGUUUCAUAAUAAAAAUUAUAAAAUUUAGGGUUGAAAAGUCGACUUUUAGGAUAUUUGUUUAUAGUUGUAUUUAUUAGAAAUUUAUAAUUUGAGUGUAACAGAUUGUAUAAAAAGUAAAAGUUGAAGUAUUUUUAUAGUUAGUAUUAUAACUGUUUAUACAAUGUUAAAGUUAGGUUUAGAAUGGAAUUAAUAAUUAUUAAAACAAUAAUAGUUAAAUUAUUUUAAUAUUAGUAAUUUAAUUUAAAUUAGUUAAAAUUUUUUAAUUUAAUAAAAUAAUUAAAAAUUUAAUCAAAUGUUUUUUAAAGACUUAGACUUUUAAAUAAAGUUUGCUUCUGCCCAAUGAUUAAUUAAAUGGCACUCUUAGCGU